Sphaerodactylus townsendi is the source of this 4575-nucleotide long non-coding RNA. RefSeq lists it as uncharacterized. NCBI's taxonomy places the organism in Eukaryota, Metazoa, Chordata, Lepidosauria, Squamata, Sphaerodactylidae. The transcript is spliced from 2 exons. The record is from RefSeq and is a predicted model, not a curated record.
UGCCAUUUUGAGCGUGUUAUGUUUGUGGGCUGAGCCUGAGACGUGGGAAACUUCGCUUUCUCCUCCCACCUUUCAGCAUGGUUCCGGCCGGCGUUUGUGGCGUUUCUGUAAAGCUGCGAUGGAAAGUGCUGCCUUGACCUGGUUUGUUUGUUUUUAAUUGAGCUCUGCUCGCCAUGACUCCGUUUAAAAGGUCUCGUUGGUCCAGCUUUCUGCUCGUAAUAGUGGCCAGCAGCCAAAUGCUCAUGAAAGCGUUAACUUGCCUUUGUCUCUCUCCCACCCGGUGCCCAGCAGUAUACUGCCUCUGGACUUUGAGGUUCCACGGGUGCUGAAUGAGAGGAGAAUCCCUCUUCUCCUUCUGCCCAAGAAGCAAUCUGUGAAAUGCUAUCAUCGACUCCAGGGGGUGGUUAAAUAGCCGUAUUAAGAAUCAUUAGGAGUGGAUCUACCGCUUUCCAAAAGAAUCUAUCGAGUCAAUAAAAGUUCUUUAGCGAGUCAAUAAAGCGGGGGGCGGGACCACCUCGAUUUGGAGUCGGCAGCCAUGGGAAGUUCCCCCACCAAAUGGUGUUUUUCCCGGACACGGGUGAUUUUGGCCCUUGCAGAAUCCUCCUGAAAUCUUGUGAAUCAGGCGUGUUUCCCCACUUCUACACAUGAAGCCUGCUGGGUGACCUAGUCAUAGUUCUUUCAGAACUCUCAGCCCCACCUACCUCACAAGGUGUCUGUUGUGGGGAGAGGAAGGGAAGGAGUUUGUAAGCCACUUUGAGAUUCCUUCGGAUUGAAAAAAGUGAGUAUAAAUCCAACCUCUUCUUCUUGCUGAAAAUAAUGAGUGCAGGAGUUCUGAAGAAGAUAAAAGUAGGUUUGUUAGUGAGUGGGAAGGAGAGAAAGAAGCAGGAAAAUGAAAAAAGCUUUAGGAGCUGAUGAAAGAAAAAGAUGAAAUAGUAGGGGACAGGGCAGCCAGCUACUUUCACAAGUCUUUGCAGAUUCUUCUCUUAUAAUUUACAAACAAUCUUUACUAUUUUGCCUUCGCCUCAAACAAGGAAGGAGGCCUAUAAUGUGCAUCUGGUAGCAAAGAUUUGCCUGUUGGUGUACAAAGAAACCAGCCCAAAUAUGUACACCCAGUAGAGCCUAUUGAUGUGUGCAAUGAAGUCCUCAUAACCUUUUUAAAAACUCUAAUAAUAUAGAUGAGGUCAUUGGAUGAAUGGUAACAUAAAGCAUCAGAGUAACCAAAAUAUUUUCCUGAUCAUGUAAUAGAGAAAAGCCAAUCUGAAAACUUUCAAAGACAUACAAAUGUUUGUAUGAAAUUAGAAUUAAUUGUCUUGUCUAGUACAUUAAUGUUACUACGGCCACCUGAUUUGUGUCUAACCAAGCUACUUUGGAGGAAGUUUUCAACCAUGGAUAAGGUAAUUUUUUUCCCUUUGGGUCACUUUAUCAGACCAAAUGGUUUCAUAUCAAAGCUGUGACUAUGAAACUAACCUCUCUGCCCUUUAUUAGCAUUUUUAUGGAGAAUAUUCACUGCAGAUUGAUGGAUAGAUUAGCUACAUCUCACUGUGGAAUGAUGUAUAUUCAUGUUAUGUUUGGAAUAUUCAUGUCACAUCGUGCAGCUAUUAACACUUCAAGAGGGUAAGUUUUUGAAGACAUUCUGCUUGGCUGAAUUUCAACUAAGGUACUAGGAUGUAUAAAAUCUACUUCAAGAGAUCAAAGAAAUGUGUUUCACACGUGGUUAUGUAAACAUUGAUUUGACCAGAAAAGGCCUUCAUAUUUGCUGCUAGCAACACCAAGCUUUCCAUUGGUUAAACCAAUGGGCAUGGUAAAUUUUGCUUUGAGAAAGCAGCCCAUGUAUGUAACUAGAUUCUACACACUGGUGACGUAUAGCUUAAAGUCCUUAAGACAGAUCAAUCAAUUUUGCAAUGGGCAAACUGCUUUCAAACUGAAGACUGCAUUUGCAUGUCACAUAAAAGCAAUUCUUCGACUGCAGAAAGUAAACAUUUUAAGCAUAAGAUUUAAUUUUUUGGCCCCAGUUGUUAACUUACAUAUUUGGAACAGAUAUCAAAUUAUUUGCUUUAAAAAAUCAACUUAAAACUGACAGCUCUUUGGUAGUGUUGCUUGUUGUGCAGAAGAGAUGGUUAGUCCUGAGAAAUGUCUCUGGUAGAUUUUGGAACGUCGCUGAAUCCCUAUUUGUUACUUCUGGCAUGUGUCACUGUAGCUAUUGUCAUUCACUGCAGAUGCUGAUGCUGAAGUCAGGGACAGUUGGAUUGCAUCAUAGCCUCUAAUAAGUAAAAAGAGUCAACCAGGAAUUCCUCCUGCGCAAAUCCUGCUAAGAGAAUGACAACUGCAAAGAAAACAUUAUUUUAUUAUGCAGUUCAGAAAGACUUGCUGGGGCAUUGUUUUCUUGGGUAGCUUGUUGCAGAGAUUUCUCUGUGCUUGAUAGGCACCUCUGACAUAAUGUCACUUGUUUGUAUGUCAUCCUGGCAUUUAAAGUCAGAUUACACAGCUGUUUGGAUGGAGUCAUCCAUGUGACUGUUACUGGUCUAAACAAUGUCAUAGAAUAAAACACACUUGUUCCUGUUAGUUUAUGUUGCAACACACCUUUGCAACACUCCUGUUUUCCUAGCUACCUGCAUUUCAGUCGCUAAGAAACAGUUUCCAGUAAGGAAAGCUCUAGCUACCUGUGAACAUUUGUGAAACAGUUUCCAGUAAGGAAAGCUCUAGCUACCUGUGAACAUUUGUGAAACAUCCUCAUUCAAAUAUUGCUCAGUAAACAGUGUUAUUCAAGAAUUCCUCAAAAGUCCUGAUAAAAGAAGGGCAGGUUUAGGAGCAAAUCAGAUUACCUAGGUUGGGGCAGAAAAAAUUGGUUAAAAAAAUGAAAACAUUGACAUGGUUGAAGGGACUAGAUUCAGACUUCCACAGUAGUGUUCUUCCUACAUCAGCUUCCUGUUAUGUUUCUGAUGGAUCCCUGGUGAUUCCCCCCCCCCCGCCCCCUGGUGGGGCAGGGGUGUCACAAGGCAGCAAUAUGGAAGAGGAUAGGACAAGAUCUGUUCUGCAGGCAAAGCUGCAAUCCAGGUUUUUUGGAGCCAAGCCAGUUUUUUAACAGAACUUACAGUGUUGAGUUAGAUUCCGAAGCUCAGUGCCUUCUUUGUCUACAGACUGGGAAUUGUAAUGGCUUAUUUGAAAGGAUAGCUGCGAGGGUAAACAAUAUUACUGAAGAAUCUCAUUGAGUGUUAAAUUGUUAAUAUUGUAUUUACUCAGAAACAAGACUAGGGUUCCCCGCAACACACACCCACAUAUCAGAUAUGCCAUCAAAAAACUGAAAGUGGUUUUUCAUUUACGUACAAGCUAGUUAUGUCCAGUGAUCAAUUUUGUAUGUAUAAAUUUUGGGGUAGUAUCAUCUUACAUUCAAUGUUGCCUUAUUAAUAAAUAUGGUACUAUUCAUAGGAUAAACUGAUUGCCUUGUGCUCAUUGAGAAAUAUUUUGUUUAGACCAGUGAUAUGCAUGUGUAAAAUAUUUUGUGGUGGUUAGUAUGUAAUUGCUAGGUAAUACCCAUUCAACCUGCCUGAAUGAAGGCAAGCUGUUUGGCACAGCUUGGCUAUACCUUUCCUAUUCAACAAGAACUAGAAUUGCUGAGAGCGAAAAAUCUGUUUAAGAUGCUUAUUUGAGGUCCUUAACCCCAGUUAGCAGAUAACAAAAAUGCAGGGAACUGAGAUUAAUCAGCAUGAGCAGGACAAGUCAUUAUAUCUGGGUGAAUUUGAAGCCACUCAUCUCACGUAAUAUGGGAAUGGGAAUAACGUACUUUUGUUUGAGAAUACUUUUUCUUCACUCCAUCUGAAAAAUGCUAUUUAAAUAAAGCUAUUUAAGUGUUAAACUGCUCAAUUCUUCUGAAUGUAUUAACUCUUGAAGAAAUUGUAACCAGUUUGUUGCUAUAAUUGUUUUCAGUUGCUAACCAGAAAGGGAAAUUGAUUGAAGGUAUCAGUGCAUGUUACUGAAAUGAACAGAGACGGAACAUUCCCACAGCAUGUAAAUUAAAGAGGACCUAAGGAUCUAAUGACCUUGUAUCAACUUAAGAAUUCUAUUUUCUCUUGUUAAUGUUACCCAAUGUUUCUGUGGCGGCCAAACAGAAAGCUGCAUCUAGUAUGAUUUAUAUGUCAUGACUGCUGUCUCUGUGAUCUGUAGAAAUACCAUGAACAUAUUAUCCAUGCUCAGGUUCAAGACAAAGCAAAUAUAUCCGAUGCUUAGUUUUGCUAAUGCACAGUGUACUUAAGCAAAUGCAGCUGUUCUUGCUCCAUGUGCAUAUGUAGUGUGCUAGUUUAUUGACAUGGAAUACCUAGGAUUCUACAUGGAGUAUUAUUCAUGAAUUUAACAGCAUCUCUGCUGGUAAGAUGAGAAACAUGUCAAAUAUUCUGGUUAAUACAGUUUGUGAUAAUAUAAUUUGUAACAGUAAGCAAAUCCAUUCUAUACCAAGUUUAUUUUUGAAUUUAUAGGUUAUAGGUGUCUUAAUAAGCACAAGCAAGAACUUUGAAUAGCACAAUGUAAACCUUUUCUUCCACAUAUAUUUAAUCAACAUGCUAUAAAAAUAUACACAAGACA